Molecule: ribosomal RNA, 279 nt
Filed under: uncultured bacterium
Lineage: Bacteria
Description: partial 16S ribosomal RNA
Rfam family: Bacterial small subunit ribosomal RNA
Source: RNAcentral
UGCCAUCAGCCGCGGUAAUACGAAGGGGGCGAGCGUUGUUCGGAAUUACUGGGCGUAAAGGGCGCGUAGGCGGUCUUUUAAGUUAGGCGUGAAAGCCCCGGGCUCAACCCGGGAAUUGCGCUUAAUACUGGAAGACUAGAAAACGGAAGAGGGUAGUGGAAUUCCCAGUGUAGAGGUGAAAUUCGUAGAUAUUGGGAAGAACACCAGUGGCGAAAGCGGCUACCUGGUCCGGUUUUGACGCUGAGUCGCGAAGGCGUGGGGAGCAAACAGGAGUAGAUA